GUCAGGCCCGGUUCCGGGCCCCGGACGACGGAUCAGUACCCGGUGAGCGACAAGACUGGCCAAG
This 64-nucleotide non-coding RNA is filed under the name Leifsonia xyli. The record is from RNAcentral. Lineage: Bacteria; Bacillati; Actinomycetota; Actinomycetes; Micrococcales; Microbacteriaceae.